GCGGCGGACGGGUGAGUAACACGUGGAUAACCUACCUAUAAGACUGGGAUAACUUCGGGAAACCGGAGCUAAUACCGGAUAAUAUUUUGAACCGCAUGGUUCAAAAGUGAAAGACGGUCUUGCUGUCACUUAUAGAUGGAUCCGCGCUGCAUUAGCUAGUUGGUAAGGUAACGGCUUACCAAGGCAACGAUGCAUAGCCGACCUGAGAGGGUGAUCGGCCACACUGGAACUGAGACACGGUCCAGACUCCUACGGGAGGCAGCAGUAGGGAAUCUUCCGCAAUGGGCGAAAGCCUGACGGAGCAACGCCGCGUGAGUGAUGAAGGUCUUCGGAUCGUAAAACUCUGUUAUUAGGGAAGAACAUAUGUGUAAGUAACUGUGCACAUCUUGACGGUACCUAAUCAGAAAGCCACGGCUAACUACGUGCCAGCAGCCGCGGUAAUACGUAGGUGGCAAGCGUUAUCCGGAAUUAUUGGGCGUAAAGCGCGCGUAGGCGGUUUUUUAAGUCUGAUGUGAAAGCCCACGGCUCAACCGUGGAGGGUCAUUGGAAACUGGAAAACUUGAGUGCAGAAGAGGAAAGUGGAAUUCCAUGUGUAGCGGUGAAAUGCGCAGAGAUAUGGAGGAACACCAGUGGCGAAGGCGACUUUCUGGUCUGUAACUGACGCUGAUGUGCGAAAGCGUGGGGAUCAAACAGGAUUAGAUACCCUGGUAGUCCACGCCGUAAACGAUGAGUGCUAAGUGUUAAGGGGGUUUCCGCCCCUUAGUGCUGCAGCUAACGCAUUAAGCACUCCGCCUGGGGAGUACGACCGCAAGGUUGAAACUCACAGGAAUUGACGGGGACCCGCACAAGCGGUGGAGCAUGUGGGUUUAAUUCGAAGCAACGCGAAGAACCUUACCAAAUCUUGACAUCCUUUGACAACUCUAGAGAUAGAGCCUUCCCCUUCGGGGGACAAAGUGACAGGGGGGGCAUGGUUGUCGUCAGCUCGUGUCGUGAGAUGUUGGGUUAAGUCCCGCAACGAGCGCAACCCUUAAGCUUAGUUGCCAUCAUUAA
RNAcentral lists this ribosomal RNA (1050 nucleotides) under Staphylococcus aureus. RNAcentral describes it as "bacterial SSU rRNA". It matches the Rfam family "Bacterial small subunit ribosomal RNA", at positions 95 to 1127 of the family's 1533-position model. The record is from RNAcentral. Lineage: Bacteria; Bacillati; Bacillota; Bacilli; Caryophanales; Staphylococcaceae.